CAGCCGCCACGGUAAUACGGAGGGGGCUAGCGUUGUUCGGAAUUACUGGGCGUAAAGCGCACGUAGGCGGCUUGGUAAGUUAGAGGUGAAAGCCUGGAGCUCAACUCCAGAAUUGCCUUUAAGACUGCCGAGCUAGCAGGUGAGAGAGGUAAGUGGAAUUCCGAGUGUAGAGGUGAAAUUCGUAGAUAUUCGGAAGAACACCAGUGGCGAAGGCGGCUUACUGGCUCAUACUGGACGCUGAGGUGCGAAAGCGUGGGGAGCAAACAGGAUUAGAUACCCCCGUAGUCCCUGUCUCUUAUAA
RNAcentral lists this ribosomal RNA (301 nucleotides) under uncultured bacterium. RNAcentral describes it as "partial 16S ribosomal RNA". It matches the Rfam family "Bacterial small subunit ribosomal RNA", at positions 509 to 809 of the family's 1533-position model. The record is from RNAcentral.